RNAcentral lists this ribosomal RNA (279 nucleotides) under uncultured bacterium. RNAcentral's name for it is "partial 16S ribosomal RNA". It matches the Rfam family "Bacterial small subunit ribosomal RNA", at positions 506 to 784 of the family's 1533-position model. The record is from RNAcentral.
UGCCAGCAGCCGCGGUAAUACGGAGGGGGUUAGCGUUGUUCGGAAUUACUGGGCAUAAAGCGCGCGUAGGCGGCGACAUCAGUCAGGUGUGAAAUCCCUCGGCCCAACCGAGGAACUGCGCUUGAUACUGUGUCGCUUGAGGACAGGAGGGGAGCGUGGAAUUCCUGGUGGAGCGGUGAAAUGCGUUGAUAUCAGGAGGAACACCGGCGGCGAAGGCGACGCUCUGGCCUGUUUCUGACGCUGAGGUGCGAAAGCUAGGGUAGCAAACGGGAUUAGAUA